UUUUUCCCCAUGGACGAAAGUUUGACGGAGCAACGCCGCGUGAGUGAUGAAGGUUUUYGGAUYGUAAARMUYUGUUGUUAGGGAAGAACMMGUWCCRUUMGAAUAKGGYGGUACCUUGACGGUMCCUAACCARAAASCCACGGCUAAYUACKUGCCASCASCCSCGGUAWUACKUAGGUGGCAAGCGUUGUCCGGAAUUAUUGGGCGUAAAGGGCUCGCAGGCGGCUUUUUAAGUCUGAUGUGAAAGCCCCCGGCUCAACCGGGGAGGGUCAUUGGAAACUGGGGAACUUGAGUGCAGAAGAGGAGAGUGGAAUUCCACGUGUAGCGGUGAAAUGCGUAGAGAUGUGGAGGAACACCAGUGGCGAAGGCGACUCUCUGGUCUGUAACUGACGCUGAGGAGCGAAAGCGUGGGGAGCAAACAGGAUUAGAUACCCUGGUAGUCCACGC
RNAcentral lists this ribosomal RNA (447 nucleotides) under uncultured Bacillus sp. RNAcentral's name for it is "partial 16S ribosomal RNA". It matches the Rfam family "Bacterial small subunit ribosomal RNA", at positions 362 to 800 of the family's 1533-position model. Lineage: Bacteria; Bacillati; Bacillota; Bacilli; Caryophanales; Bacillaceae. The record is from RNAcentral.